GUCUACGGCUGUAGAUAUGACGGGUCAGCCUCACCGCGCGCGGUUUUCUCCGGUGGAAUGUACAGUCGAGCCGCAUGUGAGGGUACUUCAUGGCACAGCUGAUGCCCGGAGGGAUUAAAGGGAGGCAGCCAAACUAGAUGAGCAAGAUACAGUUAGCCUAUAAUGUCAACACAUGAUCUGAAGUUGCAGCAGUCAAGUUGUCAAAGCGGAGUGAAAGCCAGCGUGACUUGCUAUUUCCCAGAUCAGGAGAUAUUGUACACACAAACUGACAAAUCACGCUAAUUUUCUGGAUUCUGCUUCAGGGGCGCUUCUCCGAUUCAGACUGGAUGGGAUAAGCUGUCGGAACAUGACCAAAAGGACUUUGCUUGUGUCUCAGUGCGUGAUAUUUGUGAGAUUCCUCAGAUCAGUCAGGAUCCAGUGGUCCAGUCCAGUGGUGAGCCAACAUCAAACAUUAUUUUAUACAUUUACUCGCUAUUACAAUCAAUAUCACUUCAGCUAGUUGGCAAAGAAGCAUUUCUGCUUUUCGUUUAAAGUUGACGUAGACUACUACAAUAACUAAAACUAUAAAAGCUAUAUGCCUG
This is a long non-coding RNA of Cyprinus carpio carpio, 581 nucleotides long. NCBI's taxonomy places the organism in Eukaryota, Metazoa, Chordata, Actinopteri, Cypriniformes, Cyprinidae. The record is from Ensembl.